UUUCGGUGUAUCAGAUGCAGUGCCAUUUCCACUUCCUGGGGUAUAUUGAUUCCCUUGAUUGCGUAGUAGUGCUGGGCAGGUUCCCUUGGCAAUGUGACGCUUGAGAUGGCUAGUACCAGCUACUUUAGAACCUGUGCUAUAAGCAAAACUUUGCUUGCACUGAUUACAGCACGCUCUUCUACAUCCAGGACUUACAGUUUCUAUUGUAAAGUGUUCCCAGACUAUGGACUUCUUUUUCCUCCGCUUGUUAGG
Molecule: unclassified non-coding RNA, 252 nt
Filed under: Hevea brasiliensis (rubber tree)
Lineage: Eukaryota; Viridiplantae; Streptophyta; Magnoliopsida; Malpighiales; Euphorbiaceae
Source: RNAcentral